This 380-nucleotide unclassified non-coding RNA is filed under the name fungal sp. RNAcentral's name for it is "partial internal transcribed spacer region". The stretch from base 1 to 46 matches the Rfam family "Eukaryotic small subunit ribosomal RNA", at positions 1786 to 1831 of the family's 1831-position model. The record is from RNAcentral. Lineage: Eukaryota; Fungi.
AAGUCGUAACAAGGUUUCCGUAGGUGAACCUGCGGAAGGAUCAUUAUCCUUAGCGUAGUACUCUUACCAGUAUUACAAGCGCACGCACUCUUGUGUUGCGUAAAAAUGCACAGCGGUGAUGCCUAGUCAUUUUCGCUUACAAAACCCAUGCAUGCUCGUGUGUGGUCGGGUACCUAAGCAUGUGCUUUAGCACAACGUAAGCGGUGGAUGCUUGUCCAUCGUGUGGCGUAAAGAUUAUUCAUGCCUUGAAUAACGCCCGCUUAGCAAACAAUUUUAUACCAAAUAUUAAUCGCAAUACUAUGUUGUAUGUGUAAAGCACUAUCUUAUAGCUUAUAAGAUAAUAACACAAAUACAACCCUAUGCGGUGGAUCAUUUGGCUC